Molecule: ribosomal RNA, 184 nt
Filed under: uncultured bacterium
Lineage: Bacteria
Description: partial 16S ribosomal RNA
Rfam family: Bacterial small subunit ribosomal RNA
Source: RNAcentral
UACAUGAAGCUGGAAUCGCUAGUAAUCGCGGAUCAGAAUGCCGCGGUGAAUACGUUUCCGGGUCUCGUACACACCGCCCGUCACACCAUGGGAGUCGGAAAUGCCCGAAGUCUGUGACCCAACCUACGGGAGGGAGCAGCCGAAGGCAGGUCGGAUGACUGGGGUGAAGUCGUAACAAGGUAAC